AACGCGAAGAACCUUACCAAAUCUUGACAUCCCACUGACAAAGUAUGUAAUGUACUCUUCCUUCGGGACAGUGGUGACAGGUGGUGCAUGGUUGUCGUCAGCUCGUGUCGUGAGAUGUUGGGUUAAGUCCCGCAACGAGCGCAACCCUUAUCUUUAGUAGCCAGCAUUACGGAUGGGCACUCUAGAGAGACUGCCCGGGUGAACCGGGAGGAAGGUGGGGAUGACGUCAAAUCAUCAUGCCCCUUAUGAUUUGGGCUACACACGUGCUACAAUGGCGUAAACAAAGGGAAGCAAUUGGGUGACCAUGAGCAAAUCUCAAAAAUAACGUCUCAGUUCGGAUUGUAGUCUGCAACUCGACUACAUGAAGCUGGAAUCGCUAGUAAUCGCUGGUCAGCAUGCAGCGGUGAAUACGUUCCCGGGUCUUGUACACACCG
RNAcentral lists this ribosomal RNA (434 nucleotides) under uncultured rumen bacterium. RNAcentral's name for it is "bacterial SSU rRNA". It matches the Rfam family "Bacterial small subunit ribosomal RNA", at positions 958 to 1392 of the family's 1533-position model. The record is from RNAcentral.